GAAACAGGCCGCCUUAUCGCCCGUUAACCAUUACGGGAGGAAAGUCCGGACACCAUAGGGCAGCAUAGCGGGUAACGCCCGUCACCCCGCGCAGGUGGGGGAGGACAAGUGCAACAGAAAGUAUGUACAGGUAAUGCUGUAGUGAAACCAGGUAAACUCUAUGCGGUGAAAUGCCAUGUAUACCGGCUAUAUGUAGGGCUGCCCGCCCGAUGCCGGGGGGUAGGCAGAUAGAUACAGGCAGUAAUGCCUGUGCCAGAUAAAUGAUAAGGGUUCUUUUUUAAGGAUACAGAAUCCGGCUUACAGGCCUGUUUUUUUA
Molecule: RNase P RNA, 316 nt
Filed under: Flavobacterium akiainvivens
Lineage: Bacteria; Pseudomonadati; Bacteroidota; Flavobacteriia; Flavobacteriales; Flavobacteriaceae
Description: Bacterial RNase P class A
Rfam family: Bacterial RNase P class A
About the family: Ribonuclease P (RNase P) is a ubiquitous endoribonuclease, found in archaea, bacteria and eukarya as well as chloroplasts and mitochondria. Its best characterised activity is the generation of mature 5'-ends of tRNAs by cleaving the 5'-leader elements of precursor-tRNAs.
Source: Rfam by way of RNAcentral